GAAAGCACUUUGACAAGCAAUAUGUUGUGUGCUGCAGUGCUUGGUUUUAGUCCAAAGAGAGAAGAGCAGCAGAAAGGAGGUCCAACACAUGUAGUGUCCUGAGAACUGAGAGAGAAGGAACAGUAACUUUCAGACUGAAUAAUCCAGAUUCAAGAGAUGCUUCCAGUUAUAAAGGGUGGAGAAGUCCUGACACCUUCACCUCUUUGGAUAUUUGCAAUUGCACAGUUGCAGGUUUUGUUCUCCUGGAUCACAUCUGCAGCCUUUGCAACAGCAGGAGCUCUUCAGCAUGAUACACAUGCCACAUCCGAAGAUGUAUUCCAAGACCUUCCCAGUCAGUUGUGGCAGGGUUCCCUAAUACAGAAAGUCUCUUUGAAGAGUGGGCAGAAGAGGAAUUCUCACAGACUUCGAGACGCGACAUUGAUGAGAGCAUGCUGUCUGUUGCCUAAACAAUUUCAAUUGAUUUUAUUAAGAAAAAGAAAUCUUGGAAUAGCAUCUGCUUUAAAAGACAAUAUCUCUCUUUCUUAUUCUGACAUAAUAAGUGCUGACAGAAAAGAGCACCAAAUGCAUCUUCUGCGAGACGUCUCAAGUAUCUGACAACUGCAUUCAGUGCUGCAUCUGGGCUGGAAUUUUCAAGAGUGCAAAGGCGCAGGUAGUCAAAUUCCAAGAGAGUUGGGGACUUUGUUCUGGAGGUGUUUUGAAGCUUAGACUUACUCCUUGCUCCAAGAAAUAUUCUUUGCUGCAUGGUAAGCCUCACUGAACAAACAAGUAAUGUUGUUUCCCAGGCCAAGAGUACUCCAAAGUAUAGUGGAUCAAAUACAGGAUGACAUGCACAAGAUAGCCUUGCUAAAUAAGUUUAUGAAAUCCUUGCUCGUUUACUCAAAGAAGACAAUCAACAAAUGGUUUAAUGGAAACAAACCCUAUGGUGAGUGGUAUCAUGGCCAUGGAAAGAGAGGUAUCAAUCCCAGGUGGUCUGAAAGGCCAAGUCAAAUGGAUGGAAAGAUGCCCAAAGCUAUUUUUGCUUCUUAGGAAGAAGUGUCACUGGUUCUUUUAGUAGCAAGAAGGCUGCAAGAAGGUCAAGGAUGAGGCUUACUGUCUUUGAAGCUAACAAUGAGCAAACUGGCUAUAUGUCAACCUAUUGGGACAACUAGUAUAUUAAGAAUGAAUGUAUGUGCUCCCAGCAAAGGAAUAUCUAACAUCAUAAAAGAUAAAUGCUGUUCUGAUUGUGAUAUAGUCUUCAAGAAUUUUGCAAGGUGUGAUAUCAAAGUAGUGGUAGAUGGCUGUAGUGGCAAAGUAGAAAAGGAAGAUGUGGAAGACAGUGGAAGGGAUGUCUAUGUCUAUGACAUAACUAUUAACAAUGACAUGAGAUUAAUUAAUUUUGUAGCAGUUAAGGACACAGUUGAAUAGCAUGGAAACUUUCUUUAAAAUGUUAUUAGGCGUAUAUGUCUAUCUACAGAGGAGGUUUCUAGUAAUCAAAUUAUAUAUUUUGUCUCAGGGCAAAAACUGGAAGCCUAAGAAUCGAUUAUGGAAUGACACACAAACGUGAUAAGAAAAUUCAGUAGACCAGUUAUAGAUAAAACACAACAUGCCGGAGGUA
RNAcentral lists this long non-coding RNA (1594 nucleotides) under Anas platyrhynchos platyrhynchos (common mallard). Its description in RNAcentral is "lncRNA (ENSAPLG00000025047.1)". Lineage: Eukaryota; Metazoa; Chordata; Aves; Anseriformes; Anatidae. The record is from RNAcentral.